RNAcentral lists this ribosomal RNA (222 nucleotides) under uncultured bacterium. RNAcentral's name for it is "partial 16S ribosomal RNA". It matches the Rfam family "Bacterial small subunit ribosomal RNA", at positions 328 to 539 of the family's 1533-position model. The record is from RNAcentral.
ACGCUCGACACCUACGGGAGCAGCAGUAGGGAAUCUUCCACAAUGGACGCAAGUCUGAUGGAGCAACGCCGCGUGAGUGAAGAAGGUCUUCGGAUCGUAAAACUCUGUUGUUAGAGAAGAACACGAGUGAGAGUAACUGUUCAUUCGAUGACGGUAUCUAACCAGCAAGUCACGGCUAACUACGUGCCAGUAGCCGCGGUAAUCUGAGCGGGCUGGCAAGGC